AUAUAUAUAUCACCAAUAUAUUCUUAUACUGGCUGUACAGAUAAAGAGGAGGAAAGUAAACCCAUUUCAUAUACACCCAUACUCACCUCAAUCCUGUGCCUCAUCUGUAUUGUGAAUGGGAAAACAUAG
Molecule: small nucleolar RNA, 129 nt
Filed under: Castor canadensis (American beaver)
Lineage: Eukaryota; Metazoa; Chordata; Mammalia; Rodentia; Castoridae
Description: Small nucleolar RNA SNORA51 (ENSCCNG00000015970.1)
Source: RNAcentral